AACGAACGCUGGCGGCAGGCCUAACACAUGCAAGUCGAGCGCCCUUUCGGGGGAGCGGCGGACGGGUGAGUAACGCGUGUGAAUAUGCCCUUCUCUACGGAAUAGCCUCGGGAAACUGAGAGUAAUACCGUAUACGCCCUUUGGGGGAAAGAUUUAUCGGGGAAGGAUUAGCCCGCGUUGGAUUAGGUAGUUGGUGGGGUAAUGGCCUACCAAGCCGACGAUCCAUAGCUGGUUUGAGAGGAUGAUCAGCCACACUGGGACUGAGACACGGCCCAGACUCCUACGGGAGGCAGCAGUGGGGAAUCUUAGACAAUGGGGGCAACCCUGAUCGAGCCAUGCCGCGUGAGUGAUGAAGGCCUUAGGGUUGUAAAGCUCUUUCAGCUGGGAAGAUAAUGACGGUACCAGCAGAAGAAGCCCCGGCUAACUCCGUG
This 431-nucleotide ribosomal RNA is filed under the name uncultured bacterium. RNAcentral's name for it is "partial 16S ribosomal RNA". It matches the Rfam family "Bacterial small subunit ribosomal RNA", at positions 29 to 507 of the family's 1533-position model. The record is from RNAcentral.